This 434-nucleotide ribosomal RNA is filed under the name uncultured Clostridiales Family XIV bacterium. RNAcentral's name for it is "bacterial SSU rRNA". It matches the Rfam family "Bacterial small subunit ribosomal RNA", at positions 341 to 792 of the family's 1533-position model. The record is from RNAcentral. Lineage: Bacteria; Bacillati; Bacillota; Clostridia; Eubacteriales; Clostridiales Family XIV. Incertae Sedis.
ACGGAAGGCAGCAGUGGGGAAUAUUGCACAAUGGGGGAAACCCUGAUGCAGCGACGCCGCGUGAGUGAAGAAGUAUUUCGGUAUGUAAAGCUCUAUCAGCAGGGAAGAAAAUGACGGUACCUGACUAAGAAGCCCCGGCUAACUACGUGCCAGCAGCCGCGGUAAUACGUAGGGGGCAAGCGUUAUCCGGAUUUACUGGGUGUAAAGGGAGCGUAGACGGCGGUGCAAGUCUGAAGUGAAAUCCCGGGGCUCAACCCCGGUGCUGCUUUGGAAACUGUACUGCUAGAGUGCUGGAGAGGUAAGUGGAAUUCCUAGUGUAGCGGUGAAAUGCGUAGAUAUUAGGAGGAACACCAGUGGCGAAGGCGGCUUACUGGACAGUAACUGACGUUGAGGCUCGAAAGCGUGGGGAGCAAACAGGAUUAGAUACCCUGGUA